RNAcentral lists this ribosomal RNA (439 nucleotides) under uncultured bacterium. Its description in RNAcentral is "partial 16S ribosomal RNA". It matches the Rfam family "Bacterial small subunit ribosomal RNA", at positions 339 to 795 of the family's 1533-position model. The record is from RNAcentral.
CUACGGGUCGCACCAGUGAGGAAUAUUGCACAAUGGGGGGAACCCUGAUGCAGCAACGCCGCGUGGAGGAUGACGCAUUUCGGUGUGUAAACUCCUUUUAUAUGUCAAGAAAAUGACGGUAGCAUAUGAAUAAGCACCGGCUAACUCCGUGGCCAGCAGCCGCGGUAAUACGGAGGGUGCAGGCGUUACUCGGAAUCACUGGGCGUAAAGGACGCGUAGGCGGGUUGGAAAGUCAGGUGUGAAAUCCUACAGCUUAACUGUAGAACUGCACUUGAAACUUCUAAUCUAGAGUAUGGGAGGGGAGAUGGAAUUAGUGGUGUAGGGGUAAAAUCCGUAGAUAUCACGAGGAAUACCUAAAGCGAAGGCGAUCUCCUGGAACAUUACUGACGCUAAGGCGUGAAAGCGUGGGGAGCAAACAGGAUUAGAUACCCCUGUAGUC